AACGCGAAGAACCUUACCCAGGCUUGAACAGCGAGUGACCACUCAUGAAAGUGAGCUUCCGCAAGGACACUCGUAGAGGUGCUGCAUGGCUGUCGUCAGCUCGUGUCGUGAGAUGUUGGGUUAAGUCCCGCAACGAGCGCAACCCUUGUUUGCUGUUGCCAUCAGGUUAUGCUGGGCACUCUGCAAAGACCGCCGGUGAUAAACCGGAGGAAGGUGGGGAUGACGUCAAGUCAGCAUGGCCUUUAUGUCUGGGGCUACACACGUGCUACAAUGGCCGGUACAAACCGUCGCGAGCCCGCGAGGGGGAGCUAAUCGGAGAAAGCCGGUCUCAGUUCGGAUAGCAGGCUGCAACUCGCCUGCUUGAAGUUGGAAUCGCUAGUAAUCGCGGAUCAGCACGCCGCGGUGAAUACGUUCCCGGGCCUUGUACACACCGGUAUCUC
RNAcentral lists this ribosomal RNA (440 nucleotides) under uncultured bacterium. RNAcentral describes it as "bacterial SSU rRNA". It matches the Rfam family "Bacterial small subunit ribosomal RNA", at positions 958 to 1400 of the family's 1533-position model. The record is from RNAcentral.